Molecule: ribosomal RNA, 253 nt
Filed under: uncultured bacterium
Lineage: Bacteria
Description: partial 16S ribosomal RNA
Rfam family: Bacterial small subunit ribosomal RNA
Source: RNAcentral
UACAGAGGUCCCAAGCGUUGUUCGGAUUCACUGGGCGUAAAGGGUGCGUAGGUGGUGAGGAAAGUCGGAUGUGAAAUCUCCGGGCUUAACCCGGAAACUGCAUUGGAAACUACCUUGCUUGAGGGUUUGAGGGGGGACUGGAAUUCUCGGUGUAGCAGUGAAAUGCGUAGAUAUCGAGAGGAACACCGGUGGCGAAGGCGAGUCCCUGGAAAACACCUGACACUGAGGCACGAAAGCUAGGGGAGCAAACAGG